UACGAAGGGGGCUAGCGUUGUCCGGAAUUAUUGGGCGUAAAGAGCUCGUAGGCGGUCUGUCGCGUCGGAUGUGAAAACCCAGGGCUCAACCCUGGGCCUGCAUUCGAUACGGGCAGACUAGAGUUCGGUAGGGGAGACUGGAAUUCCUGGUGUAGCGGUGAAAUGCGCAGAUAUCAGGAGGAACACCGGUGGCGAAGGCGGGUCUCUGGGCCGAAACUGACGCUGAGGAGCGAAAGCGUGGGGAGCAAACAGG
This 253-nucleotide ribosomal RNA is filed under the name uncultured bacterium. RNAcentral's name for it is "partial 16S ribosomal RNA". It matches the Rfam family "Bacterial small subunit ribosomal RNA", at positions 524 to 776 of the family's 1533-position model. The record is from RNAcentral.